Molecule: ribosomal RNA, 253 nt
Filed under: uncultured bacterium
Lineage: Bacteria
Description: partial 16S ribosomal RNA
Rfam family: Bacterial small subunit ribosomal RNA
Source: RNAcentral
UACGGGGGGGGCAAGCGUUGUUCGGAAUUACUGGGCGUAAAGGGUCUGUAGGUGGCCAACUAAGUCAUACGUGAAAUCCCUCAGCUUAACUGGGGAACUGCGUGUGAUACUGGAUGGCUUGGAUUUGGGAGAGGGAUGCGGAAUUCCAGGUGUAGCGGUGAAAUGCGUAGAUAUCUGGAGGAACACCGGUGGCGAAGGCGGUGCUCUGGGGCUGUUCUGACGCUGAGGAGCGAAAGCGUGGGGAGCGAACAGG